AACGAACGCUGGCGGCGCACUUAACACAUGCAAGUCGAACGAGAAGGCGUAGCAAUACGCUUGUACAGUGGCGAACGGGUGAGGAAUACAUGGGUAACCUACCCUCGAGUGGGGGAUAACCCGCCGAAAGGCGGGCUAAUACCGCGUACGCUUCCGAUCUUGCGGGAUUGGAAGGAAAGCUGUCCCUUGGGGAUGGCGCUCAAGGAUGGGCUCAUGUCCUAUCAGCUUGUUGGAGGGUAACGGCCUACCAAGGCAUCGACGGGUAGCUGGUCUGAGAGGACGAUCAGCCACACUGGCACUGCGACACGGGCCAGACUCCUACGGGAGGCAGCAGUGAGGAAUAUUGCGCAAUGGGCGAAAGCCUGACGCAGCGACGCCGCGUGGGGGAUGAAGGUCUUCGGAUUGUAAACCCCUUUCGGGAGGGAAGACGGCC
This 433-nucleotide ribosomal RNA is filed under the name uncultured bacterium. RNAcentral describes it as "bacterial SSU rRNA". It matches the Rfam family "Bacterial small subunit ribosomal RNA", at positions 29 to 453 of the family's 1533-position model. The record is from RNAcentral.